RNAcentral lists this ribosomal RNA (579 nucleotides) under Mycobacterium sp. RNAcentral's name for it is "bacterial SSU rRNA". It matches the Rfam family "Bacterial small subunit ribosomal RNA", at positions 384 to 974 of the family's 1533-position model. Lineage: Bacteria; Bacillati; Actinomycetota; Actinomycetes; Mycobacteriales; Mycobacteriaceae. The record is from RNAcentral.
UGAUGCAGCGACGCCGCGUGAGGGAUGACGGCCUUCGGGUUGUAAACCUCUUUCGCCAGGGACGAAGCGCAAGUGACGGUACCUGGAGAAGAAGCACCGGCCAACUACGUGCCAGCAGCCGCGGUAAUACGUAGGGUGCGAGCGUUGUCCGGAAUUACUGGGCGUAAAGAGCUCGUAGGUGGUUUGUCGCGUUGUUCGUGAAAACUCACAGCUUAACUGUGGGCGUGCGGGCGAUACGGGCAGACUGGAGUACUGCAGGGGAGACUGGAAUUCCUGGUGUAGCGGUGGAAUGCGCAGAUAUCAGAGGAACACCGGUGGCGAAGGCGGGUCUCUGGGCAGUAACUGACGCUGAGGAGCGAAAGCGUGGGGAGCGAACAGGAUUAGAUACCCUGGUAGUCCACGCCGUAAACGGUGGGUACUAGGUGUGGGUUUCCUUCCUUGGGAUCCGUGCCGUAGCUAACGCAUUAAGUACCCCGCCUGGGGAGUACGGCCGCAAGGCUAAAACUCAAGGAAAUUGACGGGGGCCCGCACAAGCGGCGGAGCAUGUGGAUUAAUUCGAUGCAACGCGAAGAACCUUAC